CAUCAUGUAAGACAGAUACCUUCAGCGCAGUCAGGAGUGGCCACGCGUCACUUAUCUCAUUAGAAUCUUGAGGUCGCCUGAUCCUUAACAGCAUUCGUUGUUGUCCGCUGCGCUUGGAGAAAGUUGACUUCGCCUGAUCCUUCGUGGAUCUCGGAGUUUAGAUACAUCAGAGGUGGAAUGGGUGAUCAACAUACACCUAAACAAAGGAGAUGAUUUGUGUCGCUAGAAGGACCCUUGAGGGCAUGGAUAGCUUAUGUUACUUGAUACUAAACGCACAGUACAAGACACACGGGGUGAUUUCAUUAAUUCCCCGACUCUACUGUAUGUGGUCUGUCAUGAAAUAAUUAAGUAAGCCGGUGGGAUGACCUUUAAAUUCAAAGCAACAAUGCCGGGUUUACAGGGCAUGAGAUGAUAAAAUGUCACCCUGCCUGCGACCAGCAGCUGGCUCUUUUGAGACAUCUUCAUGGAUGGCUUUGAUGUGAUUAAUUUUCUUAUUGACAUUCCAAAGAAAAUCCUUUUUUCCGGUGUCUGUCUGGUGCUUUUAGUAAUACAGCUGUCAAUCCUAGUCUAUGAUAUCACACUUUUUAAAGUGGCAAAGAGCCUGGAAAAUGCAACUCAACAUUAUCUACACCUUGUGAUGGUAUCACACAUUGUAAGCAUUUUUCUUUCAAUGUUGGCCACCUUAUAUGCUUUUCAGUCAGAUGACAGGAAAUUUAGGGUCAUUGCCCUCACACUGCACUGUCUGAACUUCAUUGUAUGGAUCGGAAGACUCUGGUUUGAAGCUAAUGUCAUACACCUCAAGCCUCGGAUGUAUUCAUUCACUUAAUGGUUUACUAGCUGAAAACAAAGAGUUGUCCAUCAUUAGCAUUCAGAUCAGUCCUGGUGAAGGGAGGCAUUGCACUUCUGAUAUUAGAAGAUCAAGUGUUCUGUACAAGCUUGGCGUUUGUAAUCAUUCUCAUCAAAGCAGCAGAUCUUGAAAACAGGCAGUUCCAGAUUAAGCAGAAUUAAGCAACCACCUCCUCUUGGCAGAAGUCAUCUAUCAACCGCAAAUAAUAAAAUAUUUUAAUGUUUUUUUAUUUAUAUAUGCAUAUACAUAAUUUAUUAAUUUUAUAUGUAAAUAAAAAUACUAAGGCCCCUGUGGGGUAUGUAAACA
Molecule: long non-coding RNA, 1153 nt
Organism: Erpetoichthys calabaricus (reedfish)
Lineage: Eukaryota; Metazoa; Chordata; Cladistia; Polypteriformes; Polypteridae
Exons: 5
Source: RefSeq, a predicted model, not a curated record